Molecule: ribosomal RNA, 396 nt
Filed under: uncultured bacterium
Lineage: Bacteria
Description: partial 16S ribosomal RNA
Rfam family: Bacterial small subunit ribosomal RNA
Source: RNAcentral
AUACGUAGGUGGCAAGCGUUGUCCGGAAUUAUUGGGCGUAAACCGCGCGCAGGUGGUUCCUUAAGUCUGAUGUGAAAGCCCCCGGCUCAACCGGGGAGGGUCAUUGGAAACUGGGGAACUUGAGUGCAGAAGAGGAUAGUGGAAUUCCAAGUGUAGCGGUGAAAUGCGUAGAGAUUUGGAGGAACACCAGUGGCGAAGGCGACUGUCUGGUCUGUAACGGACACUGAGGCGCGAAAGCGUGGGGAGCAAACAGGAUAGAUACCCUGGUAGUCCACGCCGUAAACGAUGAGUGCUAAGUGUUGGGGGGUUUCCGCCCCUCAGUGCUGCAGCUAACGCAUUAAGCACUCCGCCUGGGGAGUACGGUCGCAAGACUGAAACUCAAAUGAAUUGGCGGGG